UGCCAGCCGCCGCGGUAAUACGGAGGGGGCUAGCGUUGUUCGGAAUUACUGGGCGUAAAGAGCGUGUAGGCGGUUUAUUAAGUUGGGAGUGAAAUCCCGAGGCUCAACCUCGGAACUGCUUCCAAAACUGAUAAACUAGAGAAUGGUAGGGGAUGGCGGAAUUCCUAGUGUAGAGGUGAAAUUCGUAGAUAUUAGGAGGAACACCGGUGGCGAAGGCGGCCAUCUGGGCCAUUUCUGACGCUGAGACGCGAAAGCGUGGGGAGCAAACAGGAUUAGAUA
This 279-nucleotide ribosomal RNA is filed under the name uncultured bacterium. RNAcentral's name for it is "partial 16S ribosomal RNA". It matches the Rfam family "Bacterial small subunit ribosomal RNA", at positions 506 to 784 of the family's 1533-position model. The record is from RNAcentral.